UACGAUACGAGUUUGAUCCUGGCUCAGAACGAACGCUGGCGGCAGGCCUAACACAUGCAAGUCGAGCGAACCCUUCGGGGUUAGCGGCGGACGGGUUAGUAACGCGUGGGAAUAUACCCUUUGGUACGGAAUAGCCUCGGGAAACUGAGAGUAAUACCGUAUGUGCCCUUCGGGGGAAAGAUUUAUCGCCAAAGGAUUAGCCCGCGUUGGAUUAGAUAGUUGGUGGGGUAAUGGCCUACCAAGUCUACGAUCCAUAGCUGGUUUGAGAGGAUGAUCAGCAACACUGGGACUGAGACACGGCCCAGACUCCUACGGGAGGCAGCAGUGGGGAAUCUUAGACAAUGGGCGCAAGCCUGAUCUAGCCAUGCCGCGUGGACGACGAAGGCCUUAGGGUUGUAAAGUCCUUUCAGAUGGGAAGAUAAUGACGGUACCAUCAGAAGAAGCCCCGGCUAACUCCGUG
RNAcentral lists this ribosomal RNA (460 nucleotides) under uncultured bacterium. Its description in RNAcentral is "bacterial SSU rRNA". It matches the Rfam family "Bacterial small subunit ribosomal RNA", at positions 1 to 507 of the family's 1533-position model. The record is from RNAcentral.